AGACCUCUCCUUAAUUUUCUGGUAGUCCUGAACUCACCCGCUGGGUUUAUGAUAUCAAGUGUUUGAUGGUGUUAAAUGACAACCUCCCAUCACUGCUGUGUUGCCAGGGAUCACAGUGACCUCUGGUGAUCAGAGGAAAAACUGCAGGAAGGUAAAGCCGGAAGACAGCCUCUACUCUACAUUCACACACAUUCAGAGACAGACAUUUUAAGAGGUUUUUUGAGGACCAGUGGAGAUGAGAGAUGAGGACUAAGCCAUAAUUCCUUUGGAGGAGAAGAGGAACGACUCGUUAAAGAGCUUCCGACUGGGUUUUAACCAUCCAGGAGACCACACUAACUCCUAUAUUAAACCCUCUGUCUCAGCUGCCUGUUAGUUUUAGAAUAGAUGUUAAUAUUGCUUUAUUGAUUUUUGAAGGAUUACAUCGCUUUGCAAGCGAAUAUGUCAGACAUGUUUUGAAGACACAUAACCGGUUAACCUCUAAGGGCCAAAAUGUUUUGGUGACAUUUCUUUAAGACACUAUGGUCUUGUCCUUUCGAACAGCUUCCAGAAGGCUUGAAGGUUCUUAAGACAGUAUUUCCUUCAUUCAUAUUUGCCUUUGUUUCUUUCUAAUUUUGUGAUUUUGUGAUAAAUCUUUGUCUAAUUGCUGCACCUCCUAACAGACCUGUUGUUAAGCUCUGCUGUUGUUUCUCUUCAGCUGCUGAUCCUCAACACAGUGUUAUAUUGGAUAUUCAUCAUGUUGAUAAUAUAGUCUCUGAAAUGUCUUCUAAACCAUUUUAGAUGCUGGAUGUCAUUAAUAUUAUUUACAUAAAGAUACAGUCAUCUAUUUUAGGCCACUGGUUCUAAAAGUGGCGCUGUCGCCUGAAAAUUGUGUACCAUGUCACAAGCCUGUUGAUUUGUAUCCUGUGUCGUAUGUCCAAUCAAAACCACUCAUAUUUAAACUUGGAAUAAUUGUAUGAUAGUAAUUCUACAUUUGCACAUAUAAACAACAUUUUACACACCCACCCAAAACGUGAGGUUUAAGAAAGGACUUUGUUCAUUGCAAAAGUCCCGGACCGGAUAUUGGCUUGGUCUUCGGGUCCAUGGUUAUUUCAUGUCCAGUUAUAACUGAGUCUAUUUCUUAAUACUUCUAGUUUUUAAUAUUUGUUAACCAUUCAGAAAUAUAUUCCCUGUAAUAAAUGCUCUGUAUUAAUAAAGUUUUGGUCCAUUUGAUCCACUCAAUAAAUAUUACAUAGAGAC
Esox lucius (northern pike) is the source of this 1236-nucleotide long non-coding RNA. RefSeq lists it as uncharacterized. The record is from RefSeq and is a predicted model, not a curated record. Lineage: Eukaryota; Metazoa; Chordata; Actinopteri; Esociformes; Esocidae. The transcript has 2 exons.